Molecule: long non-coding RNA, 727 nt
Organism: Brienomyrus brachyistius
Lineage: Eukaryota; Metazoa; Chordata; Actinopteri; Osteoglossiformes; Mormyridae
Exons: 4
Source: RefSeq, a predicted model, not a curated record
CCUAGCACAGCCAGCUGGCCUAACUGGAACCUGAACGGGGCCAGCAGUCCAGUGCUGUAGGUGUUCAUUGGUGCGAGGUGGCCGAUCGCUCACCACGAAGACACCGACAAUAGGUUCAUACCAUCGCUCUGUCAGGUGAAGUGCAUUCUGGGGGCAAUGCGUUUGGGACAUGCAGCCGUGGAUGGUUCCUCUGACCUGUACGAGGUCAAGAUGUGUUUAGGCAGUUCCCGCAACAUCACCCAGUCCAUUGCCCACGGACAGCCAUGGUGACUCACUCAGCGAGCCUCUCUCUCUCACAUCUCACCCCCUCCCUCCUCCGGACGCCUGAGUGCCACCCCGCGUUGUUCCUGAAGUCCGCCCACUGAACCAGCCCGGCAAUGUGUGCGGACGUGGAGAAAGAAUUGGAAUAGCAAUGGCAUACAAAGAGAGUCAAAGGCUGACUGGACAGUAUCCUUCUAAGAGGACAAGAGGCAGCUUCUCCGGAGCGCUGGGAUUAACGGGGGUGAUUAAAGUUAGGGCUACCAUCGGUCAGGGGUAACAGAGCAAAACAACAUCAACAACAACAACAACAACAAAAUAAAAAUAGCAAGAGCCUUUGACAUUCCACUGUGUUCACGCCGGGGGAUGUUUUCCCAUCUAGAGAUUUUAAAUAUAGCCAAAAAUAAAAAGGCGACCCUCGAUUUCAACUGGGAAAUUCUGAAUACAAAUGUUACAUGAUAUCAUCAAU